Molecule: ribosomal RNA, 253 nt
Filed under: uncultured bacterium
Lineage: Bacteria
Description: partial 16S ribosomal RNA
Rfam family: Bacterial small subunit ribosomal RNA
Source: RNAcentral
UACGGGGGGGGCAAGCGUUGUUCGGAAUUACUGGGCGUAAAGGGUGCGUAGGUGGUCCGUUAAGUCAGUUGUGAAAUCCCCGGGCUCAACCCGGGAACUGCUUCUGAUACUGGCGGACUUGAGGCCAGUAGAGGUCACUGGAACUGACGGUGGAGCGGUGAAAUGCGUAGAGAUCGAGCGGAACACCAGUGGCGAAGGCGAGUUCCUGGACAAGACCUGACGCUGAGGCACGAAAGCCAGGGGAGCAAACAGG